RNAcentral lists this ribosomal RNA (429 nucleotides) under uncultured bacterium. RNAcentral's name for it is "bacterial SSU rRNA". It matches the Rfam family "Bacterial small subunit ribosomal RNA", at positions 355 to 775 of the family's 1533-position model. The record is from RNAcentral.
UGAGGAAUCUCGCGCAAUGGGGGAAACCCUGACGCAGCAACGCCGCGUGAGUGAGGAAGGUCUUCGGAUCGUAAAGCUCAGUCAGUUGGAAAGAAAUGUCUGAGAGUCAAUCCCUUUCAGGCUUGACGGUACCAACAGAGGAAGCACCGGCUAACUCCGUGCCAGCAGCCGCGGUAAUACGGGGGGUGCAAGCGUUGUUCGGAAUUAUUGGGCCUAAAGAGCGUGUAGGCGGCCGGAUAUGUCAGAUGUGAAAGCCCCGGGCUUAACCCGGGAAGUGCAUUUGAAACUGUCCGGCUCGAGUAGGGGAGAGGGAAGUGGAAUUCCUGGUGUAGAGGUGAAAUUCGUAGAUAUCAGGAGGAACACCGGUGGCGAAGGCGACUUCCUGGCCCUAUACUGACGCUGAGACGCGAGAGCGUGGGUAGCAAACAG